AUGGUAUCGUAUAGAUUACAGGCCAAUCCUACUCUAUUAGUAUCCGUAGGCAGCAUAGGGGAGAAAAGCACUACACCUAGAAAUAGGAAUCAACAAGAGAAAAACUUUAAUGGUUGGGAUAACAAACAACCAUCAGGUUUGUACUUUGGAUAUCCCUAUAACCAUCAAAGAUCGUUGAAGUAG
This 183-nucleotide ribosomal RNA is filed under the name Triticum aestivum (bread wheat). RNAcentral describes it as "partial small subunit ribosomal RNA". The record is from RNAcentral. Lineage: Eukaryota; Viridiplantae; Streptophyta; Magnoliopsida; Poales; Poaceae.